UCGUGCCAGGCGGGGAGCUAGCGGUGCCCUGUACCCGCAAACCGCUAUAGCGGGGCUGGAUUCCCUCCUAAGGCAAUAUGGUGGGAAAGUGCGAAAGGACAAGGGGCGUUGAAGGCCAGGUCCUGUGCAACAUCGUGCCGUGAACCAUGUCAGGCCUUGACGGGAGCAGCAUUAAGCGGAGAGCGGUGUGUGCCGCGGGGAAGCCGGGCCGGAGCAACCGAUCCUUUUAGCGUUUUCACGGUAUUGACGAGGGAGGGUGCACGG
RNAcentral lists this signal recognition particle RNA (264 nucleotides) under Eubacteriales bacterium OttesenSCG-928-M02. Its description in RNAcentral is "signal recognition particle sRNA large type". It matches the Rfam family "Bacterial large signal recognition particle RNA". From Rfam's summary of the family: The signal recognition particle (SRP) is a universally conserved ribonucleoprotein involved in the co-translational targeting of proteins to membranes. Lineage: Bacteria; Bacillati; Bacillota; Clostridia; Eubacteriales. The record is from RNAcentral.